GAUGAACGCUGGCGGCGUGCCUAGUACAUGCAAGUCGAGCGAACGGACGAGAAGCUUGCUUCUCUGAUGUUAGCGGCGGACGGGUGAGUAACACGUGGAUAACCUACCUAUAAGACUGGGAUAACUUCGGGAAACCGGAGCUAAUACCGGAUAAUAUUUUGAACCGCAUGGUUCAAAAGUGAAAGACGGUCUUGCUGUCACUUAUAGAUGGAUCCGCGCUGCAUUAGCUAGUUGGUAAGGUAACGGCUUACCAAGGCAACGAUGCAUAGCCGACCUGAGAGGGUGAUCGGCCACACUGGAACUGAGACACGGUCCAGACUCCUACGGGAGGCAGCAGUAGGGAAUCUUCCGCAAUGGGCGAAAGCCUGACGGAGCAACGCCGCGUGAGUGAUGAAGGUCUUCGGAUCGUAAAACUCUGUUAUUAGGGAAGAACAUAUGUGUAAGUAACUGUGCACAUCUUGACGGUACCUAAUCAGAAAGCCGCGGCUAACUACGUGCCAGCAGCCGCGGUAAUACGUAGGUGGCAAGCGUUAUCCGGAAUUAUUGGGCGUAAAGCGCGCGUAGGCGGUUUUUUAAGUCUGAUGUGAAAGCCCACGGCUCAACCGUGGAGGGUCAUUGGAAACUGGAAAACUUGAGUGCAGAAGAGGAAAGUGGAAUUCCAUGUGUAGCGGUGAAAUGCGCAGAGAUAUGGAGGAACACCAGUGGCGAAGGCGACUUUCUGGUCUGUAACUGACGCUGAUGUGCGAAAGCGUGGGGAUCAAACAGGAUUAGAUACCCUGGUAGUCCACGCCGUAAACGAUGAGUGCUAAGUGUUAGGGGGUUUCCGCCCCUUAGUGCUGCAGCUAACGCAUUAAGCACUCCGCCUGGGGAGUACGACCGCAAGGUUGAAACUCAAGGGAAUUGACGGGGACCCGCACAAGCGGUGGAGCAUGUGGUUUAAUUCGAAGCAACGCGAAGAACCUUACCAAAUCUUGACAUCCUUUGACAACUCUAGAGAUAGAGCCUUCCCCUUCGGGGGACAAAGUGACAGGUGGUGCAUGGUUGUCGUCAGCUCGUGUCGUGAGAUGUUGGGUUAAGUCCCGCAACGAGCGCAACCCUUAAGCUUAGUUGCCAUCAUUAAGUUGGGCACUCUAAGUUGACUGCCGGUGACAAACCGGAGGAAGGUGGGGAUGACGUCAAAUCAUCAUGCCCCUUAUGAUUUGGGCUACACACGUGCUACAAUGGACAAUACAAAGGGCAGCGAAACCGCGAGGUCAAGCAAAUCCCAUAAAGUUGUUCUCAGUUCGGAUUGUAGUCUGCAACUCGACUACAUGAAGCUGGAAUCGCUAGUAAUCGUAGAUCAGCAUGCUACGGUGAAUACGUUCCCGGGUCU
This 1372-nucleotide ribosomal RNA is filed under the name uncultured bacterium. RNAcentral's name for it is "bacterial SSU rRNA". It matches the Rfam family "Bacterial small subunit ribosomal RNA", at positions 28 to 1381 of the family's 1533-position model. The record is from RNAcentral.